This is a non-coding RNA of Vicugna pacos (alpaca), 1898 nucleotides long. The record is from RefSeq and is a predicted model, not a curated record. NCBI's taxonomy places the organism in Eukaryota, Metazoa, Chordata, Mammalia, Artiodactyla, Camelidae.
UGCUUCCGACUCCGCGCGCCUCGGCGCGGCUGGAUUCGUCCGAGGGGUGCAGCGUGGCGUGGAGCUGCUGGCCUGCUGCUCUUCUUGCCGUCCCUCCGGGGCUCAGGGCCUCUGAUCGCACCCCCUCCCCUCGCCCCGCUCCUCUGGCCCUCGAUGCUCUUUCCUUAGCGGCGGCUCUUUGCAGAAGAGCAAGCUCCUCCCCCGCCCCUCGUGGUUAUCCUGCCCACGCCCCCCCCGACCAGUCCGCCGUCGUCUCGCGCGUUCUCCGAUCACUGGAGCGCCGGCGUCCCGGACGUGCUGCGAGCCGCUGUGCUCCUACUGCUCGUCAGGACCUGGGUCUUGGAGGGCGACGACCCCAAUCCCACCUCGAAAUUACACUCUGACUUCUAACCUCUUCUCCGAUGUUCCUGACGUCGUUCUGGACCUCUUGUUGCAGAAGCUAUAUGCAAAUGAAACUGGUUCAGAAGGUUUUGGGGAGGGUGCUGAUGGGAUAAGACGUCCGUCUGAGUCCACGUAUGGAGUGUGCUCUGGAGAUGAAGCUCAGCCCAGGGGAGCAGAAGAGGAAGACUGCCAGUGUCCUGCCAAUGUCCGGUCACCACCUGGAGAGGAGGUUGUAGCUUUCUGUAACUCCUUGGGAAGUCGAGACAAAUUGGAGGAUCCUGGAAAAGAGGACUGGUGCCCUCUAGAAGAAAAGGCAGUGCAAUACCGUCUUAAUAGUGAUCUGGAUUAUUUACCUUCUGUUUUGCUUGUAACCACCCACAAUAAAGGCAGAGAAGACAAGAAGAGCUAAAGAGGAGAGUUGACCACAGUUUGCCUUCCCCUCGGAGGAUCAACAGUACACCUUUUCCCAGCUGCCUGUGUGGUAUGUGGGUACUCCUGUGAUUGCACAUGGAAUCUGCAGUCAGAACCUAGAAACCUGCUCUGCACCAGCCACCUCCUGCAGAAAUUUGGCUCUGGCAUUGUAUGGAUGAAGCCCUCAUCACUGGACCUGCCAAGACUCUGUGUCACAGACCAUCAUAACGGAGUGAACACCUCACUGAGAUGGGAUGGGCAGUUGCCUCCCAUAAGAUACAAGGUCCCUCCUAGUUUGUGAAAUUUCUGGGUCACAAUUGAAACUCAAAAAGGAAAACGCAGAGCUUAGCCACCUCCUUCUUGAUCCUGAUAAGAGCCUGAUGUGGACCACUGAUUCUGAAACCAUCCUGCACCUGUGUUCCUUCAUCAUCCAGUGUAACCCAAGCAAACUACUCACCACUUUCUGGAGAAAGAGGUGCCCUUCUCCGCUACCCAUGUUCCUUGCUCCACUGAAGGCACCACGGAACCCAGGAAGUGGAACUAAACCUCUCCCAGACCAGACAUUUCUGAGGACUUGAGCCCCUUUGCCCGAAAUGACAGUCUCCCAGAUCGCUUUGAGGGGAUGCUCUGAAGAGAUUCCUGGCAUGGAGCUUCUAAAAUGCUUGGAAUUUCCCAAGUGAUAAGAGUUCCAUUGUUAUUCAUGAGCCUCCUUGGAUAAAACCUGAAUUUUUGCUAACAAGAUGAUUCAAGAUGGGGGCUGGGCACCAGAAAGAGCAGGCAUCUGAUUAGAGGGUUGGACUUUAAGCUACUCUGACCUCUAGGGAGUAGAGUGUGGCUGCAGAUUGAGUUCAGUCACGUGUCUGAUGAUUCAGUCAAUCAUACUUAUAUGAUGAAACCCCAACAAAAGCUCUGGAUGCUGAAGCUCAGUGGAGCUUUCUGGUUGGUGAGUGCAUGGAUGUACUGGGAGGAUAACAUGCCCUGAUUCCACAGUUAAGGGCACUGAAGCUCUGCAUUCAGGACACUCCCAAAUCUCGCCCUGUGUGUCUCUUGGCUGGGCCUCCUGAUUUGCAUCAUUUAUAAUAAAACUACAGUCAUAAUUAUAUCAA